Molecule: unclassified non-coding RNA, 167 nt
Filed under: rhizosphere metagenome
Description: partial ribosomal RNA internal transcribed spacer region
Source: RNAcentral
GAGAAAUUGCCCCUUGGGGUACAUCUCCCACCCUGAUUAUUUUACCUCGUUGCUUUGGUGGGCGAAAGCCUUGGCUACAGCCUGCCAGAGUGUAUAUACUCUUGUACAAUUUUUGUCUGAGAAUAAACAAAAUAUUUAAAACUUUCAACAACGGAUCUCUUGGUUCU